ACGAACGCUGGCGGCGUGCCUAAUACAUGCAAGUCGAGCGGAAUGAUGAAGAAGCUUGCUUCUUCUGAUUUUAGCGGCGGACGGGUGAGUAACACGUGGGCAACCUACCUUGUAGAUUGGGAUAACUCCGGGAAACCGGGGCUAAUACCGAAUAAUCCAUUUUGCUUCAUGGCGAGAUGUUGAAAGACGGUUUCGGCUGUCACUACAAGAUGGGCCCGCGGCGCAUUAGCUAGUUGGUAGGGUAAUGGCCUACCAAGGCGACGAUGCGUAGCCGACCUGAGAGGGUGAUCGGCCACACUGGGACUGAGACACGGCCCAGACUCCUACGGGAGGCAGCAGUAGGGAAUCUUCCACAGUGGACGAAAGUCUGAUGGAGCAACGCCGCGUGAGUGAAGAAGGUUUUCGGAUCGUAAAACUCUGUUGUAAGGGAAGAACACGUACGAGAGUAACUGCUCGUACCUUGACGGUACCUUAUUAGAAAGCCACGGCUAACUACGUG
This 499-nucleotide ribosomal RNA is filed under the name uncultured bacterium. RNAcentral's name for it is "bacterial SSU rRNA". It matches the Rfam family "Bacterial small subunit ribosomal RNA", at positions 29 to 507 of the family's 1533-position model. The record is from RNAcentral.